This is a long non-coding RNA of Piliocolobus tephrosceles (Ugandan red Colobus), 1583 nucleotides long. NCBI's taxonomy places the organism in Eukaryota, Metazoa, Chordata, Mammalia, Primates, Cercopithecidae. The record is from Ensembl.
CCACAACCACAAUCCCAACCACAAUCCCAACCACAAUCCCAACAACCACAAUCCCAACAACCACAAUCCAAACAACCACAACAACAACAACAGUAACAACAACAAUAACAACAACAGUAACAACAACAACAACAACAGUAACAACAUAAUGCAAUGUUACAAAAAUAAUUUAGAAAAUGAUUUAGUAAAUUUUGCUAACACUACAUAUAUAGAUAUUCAUAAAAUUGUUCAAAAUGAUGAUUUAUUAAAAAAAGAAUUUAUAAGUAUAGAAGAAAGUUUUAAAAAUAUACCAUCUCCUAUUAAAAAUAGUCGUAAAAUAAAACAAAGAUAUGAUAAUAAUACAGGAAAUGUUGAUAAACAAAUUAUGUAUAAUAAUUAUGAUCAUUUGUUAUAUUUUGGUAAUAUGUUAAGAAAAGAUGAAUAUAUGAAUUUUAAUAAUGACGAAUUAUAUUUUUUUCAAAAUAAUAACAUUCCACCAAACUUAUUAAAUAAUGACUUAAGUAGUGAUAGUGUAAUAAAUAAUAAUAUAGAAAAAAUUAUAGAUAUAAUGAAUACAAACAAUGAAAGUAUUAUAAAUAAAAAUUUCAUGCUUGAUCAUGAAUAUUAUACUGGUAAUGGAACAGGUCAAGGUCCAAAUCAUGGAACAAUUAAUAACAUAAACAAUAUAAAUAAUGGAAGUAAUAAUCCUAACUCUAUAUCUAGUGGUAAUAAAAACAAGAAAAAAGAAAAUCAAAAGUUUUUUCCUUAUAACAACAAUAAUAUGCACGUUAAUACAAAUAUACAUGGUAAUAUGAAUAAUUUGCAAAACAACAUUGGUAUACAAAAUAACAUGGGAGGAAUACAUGGUAAUAUGAAUAUACAUGGAAAUAUAAAUAUGCAAGGUGGUAACAACAUUUUAAAUAAUUAUACAUCGGGUAGUAAUACAGUAGUUGGUACAGACCCAAACACACCCGUAAGUAUAAAUACAGAUACAACAGUACAAAACAAUCGACAAUCUACGAAGGAUAAAAAAAGAAAAACAAAUUAUAAUAUUAAUGAAACUAGCGAUUUAUUAUCAUAUAAAUUACGAAAAUAUAAUAGCGGAACUGAAAUAACAGACAUAAAUGAUAUAAAUGACAGUAUGGAUAACAAUGACAAUAUGUCUGACGACGAGACUAAAAGUAUUAUUCAAAGAUAUAACACAAAAGAAAAAAAAAAAAAAUACCAAAAAAUGGAUAUAAGAUCUUUAAAUAGAAAUGUACAUAAAAAUAAAGAAAUUUUUAUUAAUUGUUACAUACAUUAUGACAAUUUAAAAUCGAGUUAUAUAUUAACAUUUAUUAAUAGAAAACAAAAAAAACAAAGAAAGUUAUUCCCUGUUGAGGUUAAUGAAAAUGAUGAAACAUAUAUUUUACAAAUAAUUAAUUAUAUUGAAAAAUUAAAAAAACAAAAUAAAAUAUUUGGUGUAGAUAAAGAUGAUGUAUAUACAAUAACAGAUCACAGUACAUAUAAUAAUAAAGAAGAAGAUGAACAAGAGGAACAAGAACAACGACCAGAACAACGACCAGAACAACGACCAGAACAGGAACAACGACCAGAACAACAAC